GUUAUCGUGGCCGAAUGGUUUAGGCAAUGUACUAGAAUCUUUUGGGAUCUUCCCGCGCAGGUUAGAAUCCUGCAGACAUCG
This 81-nucleotide transfer RNA is filed under the name Dreissena polymorpha. Its description in RNAcentral is "tRNA-Leu". Lineage: Eukaryota; Metazoa; Mollusca; Bivalvia; Myida; Dreissenidae. The record is from RNAcentral.